Molecule: long non-coding RNA, 751 nt
Organism: Oncorhynchus tshawytscha (Chinook salmon)
Lineage: Eukaryota; Metazoa; Chordata; Actinopteri; Salmoniformes; Salmonidae
Source: Ensembl
UAUCUUGAAGCAGGUGGGGAUAGUGGACAUCUUGAAGCAGGUGUGGAUAGUGGACAUCUUGAAACAGGUGGGGAUAGCGGACAUCUUGAAGCAGGUGGGGAUAGCGGACAUCUUGAAGCAGGUGGGGAUAGCGGACAUCUUGAAGCAGGUGGGGAUAGCGGACAUCUUGAAGCAGGUGGGGAUAGCGGACAUCUUGAAGCAGGUGGCGAUAGUGGACACCUUGAAGCAGGUUGUGAUAGUGGAGAUUAAAAAAUGUCAGAAAACAUGACAGCCAGUUGUUCUGCACAUGCUACAAAGGGGCUUUUUGGCCGGCAGCCUUGCGAGGGUUAACAUGCUUGUAUGACGGACAUACGUCCUCCUUGGAGACCGUAACAUAGCCCACAUUGUCCUCAGGGUCUCUCUUCGGCAGCUCAGAGUCAUCGUUGUGCUCGAAGCGUGAGAAAAAGGUGUGAAAUUAUUAACAGUGGUGAGAUUUUUCAGGAGGGGAAUGAUGGAGGGGCUGUACAGCUGGAGAGGAGGGGUUGGAUGUACGGUUGGAAUGGGGACUGAGGGGGACUGUCUGUACAGCUGGAUGGUCACAUACAUAUGGUAUAGAAUACAGUAUACAUCUGGGAUGAUGUAUAUGAGAACUUGUUCUCAACUGGCCUACCUGGUUAAAUAAAGGUGUUCUCAACUAGCCUACCUGGUUAAAUAAAAGGUGUUCUCAACUGGCCUACCUGGUUAAAUAAAGGUGUUCUAAACUAGCCUACCU